This is a non-coding RNA of Carica papaya (papaya), 206 nucleotides long. NCBI's taxonomy places the organism in Eukaryota, Viridiplantae, Streptophyta, Magnoliopsida, Brassicales, Caricaceae. The record is from RefSeq and is a predicted model, not a curated record.
AGAAUUCUAAAUGAUGCAAAUAUGGGGCAUGCUUAUGAUGGUUUACUAUGGACCAUAAGGAGUCUACAGGAGCUCUUCUUUGCAUCUUCAUCGGGAAUCUCAUUGAGAACUUCGCUCAUGUCAAGUGUGUUUGAAUGGGGUUGGCGAUCAAUAUGGAGUUGUCUAAUGCAUGGGUUGCCAAUAUUCAGCAACAUAACCACAGUUGU